Non-coding RNA from Phrynosoma platyrhinos (Desert horned lizard), 73 nucleotides. The record is from the annotation of a GenBank genome assembly. Lineage: Eukaryota; Metazoa; Chordata; Lepidosauria; Squamata; Phrynosomatidae.
GCCAGAGUGAUGUAGUGGUUUGAGUGUUGGACUAAGACUCUGGGAGACCAGGGUUCGAAUCCUGGCUCAGCCA